RNAcentral lists this ribosomal RNA (253 nucleotides) under uncultured bacterium. RNAcentral's name for it is "partial 16S ribosomal RNA". It matches the Rfam family "Bacterial small subunit ribosomal RNA", at positions 524 to 776 of the family's 1533-position model. The record is from RNAcentral.
UACAGAGGGGGCAAGCGUUGUUCGGAAUUACUGGGCGUAAGGGGCGCGUAGGCGGCCUUCUAAGUCGAACGUGAAAUCCCCGGGCUCAACCCGGGAACUGCGUCCGAUACUGGAAGGCUUGAAUCCGGGAGAGGGAUGCGGAAUUCCAGGUGUAGCGGUGAAAUGCGUAGAUAUCUGGAGGAACACCGGUGGCGAAGGCGGCAUCCUGGACCGGCAUUGACGCUGAGGCGCGAAAGCCAGGGGAGCAAACGGG